UACGUAGGGUGCGAGCGUUGUCCGGAAUUACUGGGCGUAAAGAGCUCGUAGGUGGUUUGUCGCGUUGUUCGUGAAAUCUCACGGCUUAACUGUGAGCGUGCGGGCGAUACGGGCAGACUUGAGUACUGCAGGGGAGACUGGAAUUCCUGGUGUAGCGGUGGAAUGCGCAGAUAUCAGGAGGAACACCGGUGGCGAAGGCGGGUCUCUGGGCAGUAACUGACGCUGAGGAGCGAAAGCGUGGGGAGCGAACAGGAUUAGAUACCCUGGUAGUCCACGCCGUAAACGGUGGGUACUAGGUGUGGGUUUCCUUCCCUUGGGAUCCGUGCCGUAGCUAACGCAUUAAGUACCCCGCCUGGGGAGUACGGCC
This 367-nucleotide ribosomal RNA is filed under the name uncultured Mycobacterium sp. RNAcentral's name for it is "bacterial SSU rRNA". It matches the Rfam family "Bacterial small subunit ribosomal RNA", at positions 524 to 887 of the family's 1533-position model. Lineage: Bacteria; Bacillati; Actinomycetota; Actinomycetes; Mycobacteriales; Mycobacteriaceae. The record is from RNAcentral.